GUGAUUGGAUGUCAGGUCUCAUCUGUACACAACGCAGAGGAAACCGAGUACUAACUGUUACAUGUACAAGGCCUGGGUAAUUAAUCAUCAACAAGCAAAAAAAAAACAAAUGCUGUCUGUCAGCGAACGGCACCUGUACGGCAGGGCUUCACAAUCGACAAUGAGAUGACCAGCAUCAGGGCAAUAAAAACACACUCUGCCUUUGCCAGAAUGCUGCUGAGCACUCCUGCGCACCCCAAAAGCUCCUUCCCCGCCUGGCUUCACAACACCCCUGCAGCCUUUACCUGCCCUUUACCAGGACCUUAAACAGCAACCCUGUCUUACAGUAUUUUACUGGUGAAAAGACUGUACGGUGUGGUAAAAUAAAUUAAUCUGCCAGCAUGGUGGCAGUAGAGAGAGAUGUAACCUUCUGCUAAUUUAGGUGCACCACUAAACUUUCAGAAACACUGCUUUCAAAAUAUUACAAUAAAACUAGUCCUUUUAAAGCCUCAAAA
Long non-coding RNA from Danio aesculapii, 494 nucleotides. RefSeq lists it as uncharacterized. The record is from RefSeq and is a predicted model, not a curated record. NCBI's taxonomy places the organism in Eukaryota, Metazoa, Chordata, Actinopteri, Cypriniformes, Danionidae. The transcript has 2 exons.